This 253-nucleotide ribosomal RNA is filed under the name uncultured bacterium. RNAcentral's name for it is "partial 16S ribosomal RNA". It matches the Rfam family "Bacterial small subunit ribosomal RNA", at positions 524 to 776 of the family's 1533-position model. The record is from RNAcentral.
UACGUAGGGUGCUAGCGUUGUCCGGAUUUAUUGGGCGUAAAGAGCGUGUAGGCGGCCAGGUAGGUCUGCUGUGAAAACUCGAGGCUCAACCUCGAGACGUCGGCGGAAACCAUCUGGCUAGAGUCCGGAAGAGGAGAGUGGAAUUCCUGGUGUAGCGGUGAAAUGCGCAGAUAUCAGGAAGAACACCCGUGGCGAAGGCGGCUCUCUGGGCCGGUACUGACGCUGAGACGCGAAAGCGUGGGGAGCGAACAGG